Molecule: ribosomal RNA, 1958 nt
Filed under: human gut metagenome
Description: bacterial LSU rRNA
Rfam family: Bacterial large subunit ribosomal RNA
Source: RNAcentral
UUAAAGUAGUAAGGGCGCAGGGUGGAUGCCUUGGCACUAAGAGCCGAUGAAAGACGUGAUAAGCUGCGAAAAGCUUCGGGGAGGAGCACAUAUCCAAUGAUCCGGAGAUAUCUGAAUGGGGAAACCCGGCAGAGGAAACCUCUGUCAGCGUGCAGUGAAUACAUAGCUGUACGUGGGGAACCCGGGGAACUGAAACAUCUAAGUACCCGGAGGAAGAGAAAGAAAAUUUAUCGAUUUCCAAAGUAGCGGCGAGCGAAAUGGAAAGAGCCCAAACCGUGAUGCGUGCAUCGCGGGGUUCGGACUGCGUUGUGGCAGACGUAAGAUAGGAGAACGGACUGGGAAGUCCGGCCGGAGAGAGUGAAAGCCUCGUAUCCGAAAUCCCAAGUCGCCUGGCAGGAUCCAGAGUAGGACGAGACACGAGAAACCUUGUCUGAACGAGCGGGGACCACCCCGUAAGGCUAAAUACUUCUUAGUGACCGAUAGCGCAUAGUACUGUGAAGGAAAGGUGAAAAGUACCCCGGGAGGGGAGUGAAAGAGAACCUGAAACCCUGUGUCUACAAGCUGUGGGACCUCUUUAUAUGAGGGACUGCGUACUUUUUGUAGAACGGUCCGGCGAGUUGUGCGUACUGGCGAGGUUAAGGACUUAAGGUCUGGAGCCGAAGUGAAAGCAAGCGUUAAUAGCGCGUCAAGUCAGUGAGUGCAGACCCGAAACCGGGUGACCUAUCCAUGUCCAGGUUGAAGCUUCCGUAAGAGGAAGUGGAGGACCGAACCCACAUCCGUUGAAAAGGGUGGGGAUGAGGUGUGGAUAGCGGAGAAAUUCCAAUCGAACCCGGAGAUAGCUGGUUCUCCUCGAAAUAGCUUUAGGGCUAGCCUCAUGAGAGUCUUAUGGAGGUAGAGCACUGAAUUGCCUAGGGGGCGUCAAAGCUUACCAAAGCAUAUCAAACUCCGAAUGCCAUCAAGAUGAUUCAUGGGAGUCAGACCAUACGAGAUAAGUUGGAUGGUCAAAAGGGAAAGAGCCCAGACCUACAGCUAAGGUCCCAAAGUACGUGUUAAGUGGAAAAGGAUGUGGGGAUUCUAAGACAACUAGGACGUUGGCUUAGAAGCAGCCAUUCAUUGAAAGAGUGCGUAAUAGCUCACUAGUCGAGAGUCCCUGCGCCGAAAAUGUCCGGGGCUGAAACACGACACCGAAGCUUAGGAAUGUGUAAACAUUGGUAGAGGAGCAUUGUUAGCGGGAUGAAGCCAUACCGUAAGGAGUGGUGGACUGCUAGGAAGAGAGAAUGCCGGAAUGAGUAGCGAGAUGAAGGUGAGAAUCCUUCAGGCCGAAUAUCUAAGGUUUCCAGAGUAAAGCUGAUCUGCUCUGGGUAAGUCGGGACCUAAGGCGAGGUCGAAAGACGUAGUCGAUGGAUAACAGGUUGAAAUUCCUGUACCGCAUAUAAACAGAACUGUGGGGACACAGACAGGGAAUGGAAUCCGGGAAUGGAUAUCCCGGUGCAAGCGAGGUAGGAGUGCUGUUGGCAAAUCCGCAGCACGAUCUGAAGACGUGACGCGUACCGAACAUAAGUAGGGAAGUCCAGGCCCCUGGCUGUCAAGAAAAGCCGCUAUUGUUUUAUAUGUGCCCGUACCGCAAACCGACACAGGUGGAUGAGGAGAGAAUCCUAAGGCCGACGGGAGAAGUAUUGUUAAGGAACUCGGCAAAAUGACUCCGUAACUUCGGGAGAAGGAGUGCCAUGAGAGUGGCCGCAGAGAAAUGGCCCAAGCAACUGUUUAGCAAAAACACAGGUCUAUGCAAAACCGCAAGGUGAAGUAUAUGGGCUGACGCCUGCCCGGUGCUGGAAGGUUAAGGGGAGAGGUUAGCGCAAGCGAAGCUUUGAACUUAAGCCCCAGUAAACGGCGGCCGUAACUAUAACGGUCCUAAGGUAGCGAAAUUCCUUGUCGGGUAAGUUCCGACCCGCACGAAA